UGGGAGUAUAGCUCAGCCUGGUAGAGCAUUGGUCUUAUACACCAAGUGUCGGAGGUUCGAAUCCUCCUACUCCCAUCCA
RNAcentral lists this transfer RNA (79 nucleotides) under uncultured archaeon. RNAcentral's name for it is "tRNA-Ile(tat)". It matches the Rfam family "tRNA". From Rfam's summary of the family: Transfer RNA (tRNA) molecules are approximately 80 nucleotides in length. Their secondary structure includes four short double-helical elements and three loops (D, anti-codon, and T loops). The record is from RNAcentral.